Molecule: long non-coding RNA, 107 nt
Organism: Nomascus leucogenys (northern white-cheeked gibbon)
Lineage: Eukaryota; Metazoa; Chordata; Mammalia; Primates; Hylobatidae
Exons: 3
Source: RefSeq, a predicted model, not a curated record
UUCAUUUUACUUAUAUUAACAUUAUUGCUUCUAUUAAAUAAUAGAUUAGUCCAAUGUGAUGUUAGGAGUUCAGUAGAGUGAUUAGAGUCUGUUGGAAAGGUGGUGUU